GACGAACGCUGGCGGCGUGCUUAACACAUGCAAGUCGAACGGAAAGGCCCCCAUCUUGGUGGGGGUGCUCGAGUGGCGAACGGGUGAGUAACACGUGGGUGAUCUGCCCUGUACUUCGGGAUAAGCUUGGGAAACUGGGUCUAAUACCGGAUAGGACCAUGGUUUAGUGUCUCAUGGUGGAAAGAUUAUUGUUUUGGUGCAGGAUGAGCUCGCGGCCUAUCAGCUUGUUGGUGGGGUAAUGGCCUACCAAGGCGUCGACGGGUAGCCGGCCUGAGAGGGUGGACGGCCACAUUGGGACUGAGAUACGGCCCAGACUCCUACGGGAGGCAGCAGUGGGGAAUAUUGCACAAUGGGCGCAAGCCUGAUGCAGCGACGCCGCGUGGGGGAUGACGGCCUUCGGGUUGUAAACUCCUUUCGUUAGGGACGAAGCCGCACUUUUUUUGGGUGUGGUGACGGUACCUUUGUUAAGAAGCACCGGCUAACUACGUG
This 489-nucleotide ribosomal RNA is filed under the name uncultured bacterium. RNAcentral's name for it is "partial 16S ribosomal RNA". It matches the Rfam family "Bacterial small subunit ribosomal RNA", at positions 28 to 507 of the family's 1533-position model. The record is from RNAcentral.